This 253-nucleotide ribosomal RNA is filed under the name uncultured bacterium. RNAcentral describes it as "partial 16S ribosomal RNA". It matches the Rfam family "Bacterial small subunit ribosomal RNA", at positions 524 to 776 of the family's 1533-position model. The record is from RNAcentral.
UACGGGGGGGGCAAGCGUUGUUCGGAAUUACUGGGCGUAAAGGGCGCGUAGGCGGCCUGUUAAGUCGAACGUGAAAUCCCCGGGCUCAACCCGGGAACUGCGUCCGAUACUGGCAGGCUUGAAUUCGGGAGAGGGAUGCGGAAUUCCAGGUGUAGCGGUGAAAUGCGUAGAUAUCUGGAGGAACACCGGUGGCGAAGGCGGCAUCCUGGACCGGUAUUGACGCUGAGGCGCGAAAGCCAGGGGAGCAAACGGG